RNAcentral lists this ribosomal RNA (482 nucleotides) under uncultured bacterium. RNAcentral describes it as "partial 16S ribosomal RNA". It matches the Rfam family "Bacterial small subunit ribosomal RNA", at positions 28 to 523 of the family's 1533-position model. The record is from RNAcentral.
GACGAACGCUGGCGGCGUGCUUAACACAUGCAAGUCGAACGAUGAACCGGUUUCGGCCGGGGAUUAGUGGCGAACGGGUGAGUAACACGUGGGCAAUCUGCCCUGCACUCUGGGACAAGCCCUGGAGACGGGGUCUAAUACCGGAUACGACAUGGGAAUGCAUGUUCCUGUGUGGAAAGCUCCGGCGGUGCAGGAUGAGCCCGCGGCCUAUCAGCUAGUUGGUGGGGUAGAGGCCUACCAAGGCGACGACGGGUAGCCGGCCUGAGAGGGCGACCGGCCACACUGGGACUGAGACACGGCCCAGACUCCUACGGGAGGCAGCAGUGGGGAAUAUUGCACAAUGGGCGAAAGCCUGAUGCAGCGACGCCGCGUGAGGGAUGACGGCCUUCGGGUUGUAAACCUCUUUCAGCAGGGAAGAAGCUUUCGGGUGACGGUACCUGCAGAAGAAGCACCGGCUAACUACGUGCCAGCAGCCGCGGUAA